Molecule: ribosomal RNA, 464 nt
Filed under: uncultured Helicobacteraceae bacterium
Lineage: Bacteria; Pseudomonadati; Campylobacterota; Epsilonproteobacteria; Campylobacterales; Helicobacteraceae
Description: bacterial SSU rRNA
Rfam family: Bacterial small subunit ribosomal RNA
Source: RNAcentral
AGUGAACGCUGGCGGCGUGCCUAACACAUGCAAGUCGAACGAGAACGGUACUAGCUUGCUAGUAUGUCAGCUAAGUGGCGGACGGGUGAGUAAUGUAUAGCUAACGUGCCCUUUAGAGGGGGAUAGCCACUGGAAACGGUGAUUAAUACCCCAUAUUCCUUCUUACUUAAUGUAAGUUGGGAAAUGUUUUUUCGCUAAAGGAUCGGGCUAUAUCGUAUCAGGUAGUUGGUGGGGUAAGAGCCUACCAAGCCAAUGACGCGUAACUGGUUUGAGAGGAUGAUCAGUCACACUGGAACUGAGACACGGUCCAGACUCCUACGGGAGGCAGCAGUGGGGAAUAUUGCACAAUGGGGGGAACCCUGAUGCAGCAACGCCGCGUGGAGGAUGACGCAUUUCGGUGUGUAAACUCCUUUUAUAUAGGAAGAUAAUGACGGUACUAUAUGAAUAAGCACCGGCUAACUCCG